GUAACUUCCUCGUCGCCUCAUCAGCAGUUCUUGUAUAGUGUGUGUAUUUCCAUGGUGCUAGAAGAAGUGCUGAUGAGGCGAUGAGGAAGUUACGACAAA
RNAcentral lists this microRNA precursor (99 nucleotides) under Phlebotomus papatasi. RNAcentral describes it as "microRNA mir-932". Lineage: Eukaryota; Metazoa; Arthropoda; Insecta; Diptera; Psychodidae. The record is from RNAcentral.